UAACCGAAUUCUGAGAAACAUGUUUGUGCUA
This 31-nucleotide non-coding RNA is filed under the name Rattus norvegicus (Norway rat). The record is from RNAcentral. Lineage: Eukaryota; Metazoa; Chordata; Mammalia; Rodentia; Muridae.